CCAGUUGUUGUUCGCGUCGUCGGGAGCGCGUUCGCAGCGGGCCGUGCCAGCCGUCUCUCACCAAUGCUGUGCCUGAGGGCUUUGCUGGUUGGGUCGCCAGUGGAGGACGAGGCCAUGCUUGCUCCGCUCUUUCAGAUCUAGGAGUGUAACAGAGUGCUGCGGUGGAUCUAAAGUCCGUGAACACCCCAACCCGUGAUCUGUUUAUACGAUGGAUCUAAAGUCCUCCGACAUGCUGCUGCCCGGUCCAGGAAGGUAUGUGAACUUUGAGCAGACAAUGUUGGUUCGUUCUCGGUGGAGGUACAGUGGGUCACUAGAUAGUGGAUACUGGAUACAAUAGCAGCAGGUGGAUGUGUACGUAAUUGUACUUAUCCUGUGCUUUCUUGUGAUUGUAAACCUAAUCACAUUCUAGAUUGAUUGAUUCAUAUUGCCUUUCAUAAUUAGAAUAACGGGUGUUGUUUAUGAUGGUAUGCAUUAUCUUCCCUCCAGUUCUAGCUGCUCAACUUGCAUAUUUUACAACAAGCCCAAAAGACACACACUAUUUUAUGGAUAUUUACAUUAGCUUUUCAUCCUUUAGUGGUGAAAACAGUUUCCCAAAUUUUCUUUCCUUGUUCAUUCUUAUAUUAAUUUUUUUGUAAUGAUUUUCAUGACAAUCCACACACACACACACACAGAGAUGGAAUAUUUAUUGAUAUGAUUUUUUGGUGGAAACAAACCGGAGGAAGUGAUGCACAACUCAGAAAAAGGUAAGUGAUGUGAAAUUUCUAGGUGCAUUGCUAUUUACACUACCAUGCAAUGACAUUCAAAUACGUAUUAAGCAUGUCCUUAAUAAAGUUUAACAUGCCAUUUUCUAUUAGAGUACUCCGAUCCAAGCUGGAUAUGUAGCUAGCCUCUCCUAAUCUGCCUGUAAAAGACACUCUCCUAAUCUUCCCAUGCUUUCAGUUUCUUCGGUAUCGGAGUUCUCAUCUAUUCUUUGAGAUUUCCAAAAAUUUGUGGUCUCCUUCCUGUUAUGUCACUAUUAAGUCUUCAGUUCAACGUGACACAUGCAGGGCCACCUUAAGUGCUCAACUGCCACAUCUAGCGGGAUAUGGAGAGGGACACGGAGAUUAUAUGCGUACCGAUGGUUGCGGGUUGAUGAAUACGGACCUGCUGAUGCAGUGGUGAGGACUAUAUACCCCAUGUACUUUACCAUGAACAAUCCAAGGUUGACUAAUAAAAUAUUGAUAGGAUCUACCAUUUAUUACUUUCUCUUUUUAAAAUGUGAAUAUGUUUCUAGACAUUGAAUAAAUCUUGAUAGGAUCUGCCAUUUACGGUUUUCUCUUUUUAAAAUGUGAUUAUGUUUAUAGACUUUGAAUAAUAAAAACAUCAAUUUCUCAAGAUUCUGAAUAAAACUUUUUUAUAUGGAUUUCUGCUUUAUUUAUCUGCUGUGAUCAGUGUUUUCUUCUUGCAUGUGGCUUAGUAACACCAACCAAUACAUGUCUUUACGCAUGUGAUUUGUUUGUUCCUCUCAUUCUAUUAUUAAACUUAUUAAUUUGAUCUUUUUCGUUAUACAGAUCACUUCUGACAUUACCAGUUCCUGCACUCCUGGACUCCUCCUUUACCAACGACCCACAUGCAAAAUAACGUAAGCUGUCAGGCUCCAACUUGAUAAUCUAGAUGACAUGGUCACUAUACUGAGAACUGUUUUCCUUCAAAUGUAGAAAAAAAUGUUGCUCAAUCUGCUAUUUACAGAAAAAUGAGUAGCUGGCACUUGCUUCUAUUAAAUAGACAGUCAAUUUGUAGUAUGCAUCAGUACAACAAAAAGCCUUUUAGGUUGCCUGCCAGUUUAAAUUAUUUCUAUAAUGGUAAAUAGACAGUCAAUUUGUAGUAUGCAUCAGUACCACAAAAAGCCUUUUAGGUUGCCUGUCAGUUUGUAUUAUCUCUAUAAUGGUGAUUGGAUAUUGUGGGCUCUGCCUGUCAUUUUAGCAUGCUACAGAUUUCUACCUAAGGUGAUUAUCAGCUUGAAUUUGAGCAGAAGGCUAAAGCUGUUCUUGGAACUUACAACAGGGUUGUAUUUCCAAAUGAAAAAAGAUGACAAAGCUCUAUUUUUUUAGAAUGUUACCUUUUACUAUGCCUGGUCAGAAACAAGCGAAUCCUCUCGAGUUUGUCGAGUUGUUUGCAGUGAUCACCUGCCAUUUUUUAUUUGUAUAAUGUUUGAAGUUUGCAUGAAUGGAUUCAAUGAAAUUAUAGGUGCCAUACUACUUUGGUCGUGAUUAUGCUUCCAGAUAUUUAUAGAAAUCACUAUCAUUCUUUUCAAAAUAGGACGGGCGCGACAACGCGCGCCAUCCAUGAUCUAGUGACUACUAAUAGCAAGACUUCUUCCAUGUCUUCAAGAACAAAAGUAACUACUCACAAAGUAUAAAUAUGUUCAUAACCAGAGG
Molecule: long non-coding RNA, 2417 nt
Filed under: Triticum aestivum (bread wheat)
Lineage: Eukaryota; Viridiplantae; Streptophyta; Magnoliopsida; Poales; Poaceae
Description: long non-coding RNA (TAES_LNC021030)
Source: RNAcentral